This 207-nucleotide ribosomal RNA is filed under the name uncultured bacterium. RNAcentral describes it as "partial 16S ribosomal RNA". It matches the Rfam family "Bacterial small subunit ribosomal RNA", at positions 568 to 774 of the family's 1533-position model. The record is from RNAcentral.
CGCGUAGGCGGCCUGUUAAGUCAGAGGUGAAAUUUCAGAGCUCAACUUUGAAGCGGCCUUUGAAACUGACAGGCUAGAGGAUGGACGGAGAAAACGGAAUUCCACGUGUAGCGGUGAAAUGCGUAGAUAUGUGGAGGAACAUCGGUGGCGAAAGCGGUUUUCUAGUUUAUCCCUGACGCUGAGGCGCGAAAGCAAGGGUAGCAAACA